RNAcentral lists this unclassified non-coding RNA (323 nucleotides) under soil metagenome. Its description in RNAcentral is "partial contains 5.8S ribosomal RNA, internal transcribed spacer 2, and large subunit ribosomal RNA". The stretch from base 1 to 120 matches the Rfam family "5.8S ribosomal RNA", at positions 35 to 154 of the family's 154-position model. The record is from RNAcentral.
GAUGAAGAACGUAGCGAAAUGCGAUAAGUAGUGUGAAUCGCAGAAUUCCGUGAAUCAUCGAAUCUUUGAACGCACAUUGCGCCCUGUGGUAUUCCGCAGGGCAUGCCUGUUCGAGCGUCAUUUCAACCCUCAAGCUCUGCUUGGUGUUGGGCCCUGCCCGCUGCGGCCGGCCCUAAAGACAGUGGCGGUGCCGCCUGGCCCUGAGCGUAGUACAUCUCUCGCUCCAGUGCCCGGUGGUAGCCUGCCAGAACCCCAACUCUCGUGGUUGACCUCGGAUCAGGUAGGGAUACCCGCUGAACUUAAGCAUAUCAAUAAGCGGAGGA